GGGUUGUGAGGUUAAGCGACUAAGCGUACACGGUGGAUGCCCUGGUAGUCAGAGGCGAUGAAGGGCGUGCUAAUCUGCGAUAAGCGCCGGUAAGGUGAUAUGAACCGUUAUAACCGGCGAUACCCGAAUGGGGAAACCCAGUGUGAUUCGUCACACUAUCAUUAACUGAAUCCAUAGGUUAAUGAGGCGAACCGGGGGAACUGAAACAUCUAAGUACCCCGAGGAAAAGAAAUCAACCGAGAUUCCCCCAGUAGCGGCGAGCGAACGGGGAGGAGCCCAGAGCCUGAAUCAGCAUGUGUGUUAGUGGAAGCGUCUGGAAAGGCGCGCGAUACAGGGUGACAGCCCCGUACACAAAAGCGCAUGUGCUGUGAGCUCGAUGAGUAGGGCGGGACACGUGGUAUCCUGUCUGAAUAUGGGGGGACCAUCCUCCAAGGCUAAAUACUCCUGACUGACCGAUAGUGAACCAGUACCGUGAGGGAAAGGCGAAAAGAACCCCGGCGAGGGGAGUGAAAAAGAACCUGAAACCGUGUACGUACAAGCAGUGGGAGCCCCACCACUAAGCCAGUGGUGAACUCCACAUCCGCAUCCUUUGCUGAGGAUACGGUUAACGGAGCGAAAGCGACGUUCAACCGCAAAACAAGCAGAGGGGGCUUAG
RNAcentral lists this ribosomal RNA (655 nucleotides) under Salmonella enterica subsp. enterica serovar 4,[5],12:i:-. Its description in RNAcentral is "partial 23S ribosomal RNA". It matches the Rfam family "Bacterial large subunit ribosomal RNA", at positions 1 to 671 of the family's 2925-position model. The record is from RNAcentral. Lineage: Bacteria; Pseudomonadati; Pseudomonadota; Gammaproteobacteria; Enterobacterales; Enterobacteriaceae.